CUUGGCUGUUAAAAAGCGGUCUAGACUUCAAAUAAAAAACAGUGAUAAAUAAACUAUAUUUUAUCCGCACUUCAACUCCCAUGCUGCAGUGCUCUGAAAACAAAGAAAUCACCCCCUUCACUGCUUAUUAUCUUCUCAUCCGGCCAAAGAUCCAAUCCCCCUUCAGACUUCAUACCAAUGUACUGUUCCUCUUCCACACAGAGCAAAUCACUUCAGAUUAGCUUUCGGCGACCUGCUGGGCUAUGAUUCUCGCUGGAUCUGCUCAAUAUCUUGCGCCAAGGAGGGCACGCGGUGGCGCUGUCGCACGGAGAUGCCGGCACAGGCGAGUUGCCGCGAGGUCAACCAAGUAGCCGUCGACCUGCGUGGAUUAGCGCGGCGUGACAAACACUAAGGAGUGGAAGCUGGGUGCAUUAGUGCCGCAAGUAGCAACGCAGGUAUUGGAGGCUUCUAUAAUAUCGUAUCUUAGAAGAGUUCUGAUUCAUUACCUCAUCUGUUGGGUUGUCAUGCCUAAUUUCAGUAAGUUCUUUUAAGGUUAUCCUUCUGUAAAACAUUUGAUCUUCUAGUGUCCCUUGAGUACUUUUAUCUAUAUCCAUCAUUUUUGGUAAAGUUU
This is a long non-coding RNA of Triticum aestivum (bread wheat), 610 nucleotides long. RefSeq lists it as uncharacterized. Lineage: Eukaryota; Viridiplantae; Streptophyta; Magnoliopsida; Poales; Poaceae. The transcript has 2 exons. The record is from RefSeq and is a predicted model, not a curated record.